This 1361-nucleotide ribosomal RNA is filed under the name uncultured bacterium. Its description in RNAcentral is "bacterial SSU rRNA". It matches the Rfam family "Bacterial small subunit ribosomal RNA", at positions 28 to 1389 of the family's 1533-position model. The record is from RNAcentral.
GAUGACCUCUGGCGGCGUGCCUAACACAUGCAAGUCGAGCGAAGCGCUGUUUUCAGAAUCUUCGGAGGAAGAGGACAGUGACUGAGCGGCGGACGGGUGAGUAACGCGUGGGCAACCUGCCUCAUACGGGGGGAUAACAGUUAGAAAUGACUGCUAAUACCGCAUAAGCGCACAGGACCGCAUGGUGUAGUGUGAAAAACUCCGGUGGUAUGAGAUGGACCCGCGUCUGAUUAGGUAGUUGGUGGGGUAAAGGCCUACCAAGCCGACGAUCAGUAGCCGACCUGAGAGGGUGACCGGCCACAUUGGGACUGAGACACGGCCCAAACUCCUACGGGAGGCAGCAGUGGGGAAUAUUGCACAAUGGGGGAAACCCUGAUGCAGCGACGCCGCGUGAAGGAAGAAGUAUUUCGGUAUGUAAACUUCUAUCAGCAGGGAAGAAGAUGACGGUACCUGAGUAAGAAGCACCGGCUAAAUACGUGCCAGCAGCCGCGGUAAUACGUAUGGUGCAAGCGUUAUCCGGAUUUACUGGGUGUAAAGGGAGCGUAGACGGAUAGGCAAGUCUGGAGUGAAAACCCAGGGCUCAACCCUGGGACUGCUUUGGAAACUGCAGAUCUGGAGUGCCGGAGAGGUAAGCGGAAUUCCUAGUGUAGCGGUGAAAUGCGUAGAUAUUAGGAGGAACACCAGUGGCGAAGGCGGCUUACUGGACGGUGACUGACGUCGGGGCUCGAAAGCGUGGGGAGCAAACAAGAUUAGAUACCCUGGUAGUCCACGCCGUAAACGACCCUAAAAGGGUGUCGGUGUGCAAAGCACAUCGGUGCCCCCAGCAAACGCAAAUAAGUAGUCCACCUGGGGGAGUACGUUCCAAAGAAUGAAACUCAAAGGAAUGACCGGGGACCCGCCCAAGCGGGGGAGCAUGGGGUUUAAUUCGAAGCAACGCGAAGAACCUUACCUGGUCUUGACAUCCGGAUGACGGGCGAGUAAUGUCGCCGUCCCUUCGGGGCAUCCGAGACAGGUGGUGCAUGGUUGUCGUCAGCUCGUGUCGUGAGAUGUUGGGUUAAGUCCCGCAACGAGCGCAACCCUUAUCUUCAGUAGCCAGCAUAUAAGGUGGGCACUCUGGAGAGACUGCCAGGGAGAACCUGGAGGAAGGUGGGGAUGACGUCAAAUCAUCAUGCCCCUUAUGGCCAGGGCUACACACGUGCUACAAUGGCGUAAACAAAGGGAAGCGAGAGGGUGACCUGAAGCGAAUCCCAAAAAUAACGUCUCAGUUCGGAUUGUAGUCUGCAACUCGACUACAUGAAGCUGGAAUCGCUAGUAAUCGCGGAUCAGCAUGCCGCGGUGAAUACGUUCCCGGGUCUUGCACA